ACUAAUGUGUUACUUGAUGGCAUAACAUUUAAGUCAAUUAGGAUCGAUAUACUUUGUAUAUCCACAAGGUGGCAGUAAUGCAAAAACAGUUGUAAUGAAACCGCGAAGAACAAUAAGGUUUCACGGCUUGGGCCUGCUCAUGCGCAAGACUUCAAAUUUAACUUAAAAACGUUGUUUUGGCGCCAAGCUGCUGUUUCUUUGAGAGAUCCUGCCUUUACCUGCUCCCUCCUAUACUGAUGUGGUGUAUGUGGUACUGCUGAGCUUGUAUGUGAUCUGAACCAUUGUAAAGGUUGCAGUUCAAGGGCCUGAGGUGGAAGCAGAAUUUGUGAGGAUUACUACUGCUCCACUUGUUCCAAGGCUUUUUGCACAACUUGACCAAUACACUGACCAGCUCAUAAAAGUCUUCAAGAAAAAAGGAGGCGCUGCAGGGAAGAAAAUUAGACAAACUUUGGCCCCAGCCACACAGAAGGAAACUAUUGAAAAGGGGAGGGAGUGUGUCCUCAGGGCACUACCUUUUUACCUGAAUGAAGACCCAACCAUCCUCUUCAAAGAAUAAUUGCUACAGCUACAGCUGUUCAGAGGGAGCUGGAACAAAUUACCCUUGCUAUCUUCACCAUCGAAAAAGCUGAUGUCAGCACUCCUCCAGCCGAUGUGGGUAUAACCAUCUAGGGUGUUCUGCAUGUCCUGGAAAACAUGGCUUCUGCAUGUGCACUCUUAAUGGGUGGGAUAUAUGCACUGAAUCUCAGUUAACCUCGAGACUGAAAGCUUUCUUUGAAGUACUUCAGAAGCUCUUCCUUCAUCUGUAUGUCAGCAGACUCUUGACCAACGUACAGAUACUCAAGAAUAAACUGAAUGAAUAAGCCAACCCUUAAUUUGGAUGAUGAAUGUUCUGUCAGAUGGACAGAAGUUUUUCGGAGGCUGAAUUGGAAUAAAAUGGUAAUUUGUUAAAUGACAGAUAAAAGGAAAAAUUACAUUUAAGAGAAAUUUAGAAAAUUUUGAAAAGUUUGUAAACUACUACAAUUUGAGAGAUUUUACUCUUGUGGGGGGAGGGGGGGGCUAGUAAGAGACAAUCAGAAGUAUUGAGAUUUAAAGGAUUUAAUUGAGAGAUGAUACUGCACCAGAAAUGUUGAAGGGUGGUGUGUAUAUUAGCGUUCAAGGUAUAUUGUUAUGAGGUGGAAAUACAGGGAGUGCAGAAUUAUUAGGCAAAUGAGUAUUUUGUCCACAUCAUCCUCUUCAUGCAUGUUGUCUUACUCCAAGCUGUAUAUGUCAUGGACCGGCUGUGUGGCGGGCAGGAAGUGGACCCAAACGCAGACUCACAGGAAAACAGGACUGAACUCAAAAUACAGCUUUAUUGCUGACAGUAGAUAAUAGCGAUACAAAAUAACAUGAAACUAAACUGGGAAGUACUAAGGUAACUGACUUACGAGGAAACACACGGAGGGGCACACAGUCAUGAGGGAGAACGCGACACUGACACAGGGAAACACAGGGCUAAAAUACACUGGGAAGUAACGAGGGGAAUGAGACACAGAAGGGGAGCACAGCUGGGAAAAAUCAGAACUGACGAGACGA
Long non-coding RNA from Oreochromis niloticus (Nile tilapia), 1572 nucleotides. RefSeq lists it as uncharacterized. The transcript is spliced from 6 exons. The record is from RefSeq and is a predicted model, not a curated record. NCBI's taxonomy places the organism in Eukaryota, Metazoa, Chordata, Actinopteri, Cichliformes, Cichlidae.